AAAUUGAAGAGUUUGAUCAUGGCUCAGAUUGAACGCUGGCGGCAGGCCUAACACAUGCAAGUCGAGCGGUAGCACAGAGAGCUUGCUCUCGGGUGACGAGCGGCGGACGGGUGAGUAAUGUCUGGGAAACUGCCUGAUGGAGGGGGAUAACUACUGGAAACGGUAGCUAAUACCGCAUAACGUCGCAAGACCAAAGUGGGGGACCUUCGGGCCUCAUGCCAUCAGAUGUGCCCAGAUGGGAUUAGCUAGUAGGUGGGGUAACGGCUCACCUAGGCGACGAUCCCUAGCUGGUCUGAGAGGAUGACCAGCCACACUGGAACUGAGA
This 325-nucleotide ribosomal RNA is filed under the name Klebsiella pneumoniae. RNAcentral describes it as "bacterial SSU rRNA". It matches the Rfam family "Bacterial small subunit ribosomal RNA", at positions 1 to 324 of the family's 1533-position model. The record is from RNAcentral. Lineage: Bacteria; Pseudomonadati; Pseudomonadota; Gammaproteobacteria; Enterobacterales; Enterobacteriaceae. RNAcentral also lists the same sequence under 2 other names.